RNAcentral lists this unclassified non-coding RNA (1638 nucleotides) under Leptodesmis sp. KPABG 610043. RNAcentral's name for it is "bacterial SSU rRNA". The stretch from base 1 to 1116 matches the Rfam family "Bacterial small subunit ribosomal RNA", at positions 402 to 1533 of the family's 1533-position model. Lineage: Bacteria; Bacillati; Cyanobacteriota; Cyanophyceae; Leptolyngbyales; Leptolyngbyaceae. The record is from RNAcentral.
UGCGGGACGAAGGCUUUUGGGUCGUAAACCGCUUUUGUUAGGGAAGAACACAAUGACGGUACCUAACGAAUCAGCAUCGGCUAACUCCGUGCCAGCAGCCGCGGUAAUACGGAGGAUGCAAGCGUUAUCCGGAAUUAUUGGGCGUAAAGCGUCCGCAGGUGGUUUAUCAAGUCUGCUGUUAAAUCGUAGGGCUUAACCCUAUAAAGGCAGUGGAAACUGACAGACUAGAGUACGGUAGGGGUAGCGGGAAUUCCCAGUGUAGCGGUGAAAUGCGUAGAUAUUGGGAAGAACACCAGCGGCGAAGGCGCGCUACUAGGCCGAAACUGACACUCAUGGACGAAAGCUAGGGGAGCGAAAGGGAUUAGAUACCCCUGUAGUCCUAGCUGUAAACGAUGACAACUAGGUGUUGCGCGUAUCGACCCGUGCAGUGCCGUAGCUAACGCGUUAAGUUGUCCGCCUGGGGAGUACGCACGCAAGUGUGAAACUCAAAGGAAUUGACGGGGGCCCGCACAAGCGGUGGAGUAUGUGGUUUAAUUCGAUGCAACGCGAAGAACCUUACCAGGGCUUGACAUGUCGCGAAUCCCGGUGAAAGUCGGGAGUGCCUUCGGGAGCGCGAACACAGGUGGUGCAUGGCUGUCGUCAGCUCGUGUCGUGAGAUGUUGGGUUAAGUCCCGCAACGAGCGCAACCCUCGUUUCUAGUUGCCAUCAUUAAGUUGGGCACUCUAGAGAGACUGCCGGUGACAAACCGGAGGAAGGUGGGGAUGACGUCAAGUCAGCAUGCCCCUUACGCCCUGGGCUACACACGUACUACAAUGCUAUGGACAAAGAGUUGCAAGCCAGCGAUGGCAAGCUAAUCUCGUAAACCAUGGCUCAGUUCAGAUUGCAGGCUGCAACUCGCCUGCAUGAAGGAGGAAUCGCUAGUAAUCGCAGGUCAGCAUACUGCGGUGAAUACGUUCCCGGGCCUUGUACACACCGCCCGUCACACCAUGGGAGUUGGCCACGCCCGAAGUCGUUACUCCAACCGUAAGGAGGGGAACGCCGAAGGCAGGGCUGAUGACUGGGGUGAAGUCGUAACAAGGUAGCCGUACCGGAAGGUGUGGCUGGAUCACCUCCUUUAAGGGAGACCUCCCGCUAUACCGCGUUUUAGAGCGUAGAGUAUAGACGGUCAACCUAAGGUCGUUCGAGGACUAUAUUUCAAGAGGCUUUCAAACUAUCUAGGGAACGGAAAUGGGCUAUUAGCUCAGGUGGUUAGAGCGCACCCCUGAUAAGGGUGAGGUCCCUGGUUCGAGUCCAGGAUGGCCCACCAUUUAUUACGAGGGGGUUUAGCUCAGUUGGUAGAGCGCCUGCUUUGCAAGCAGGAUGUCAACGGUUCGAGUCCGUUAACCUCCACUUGAGUGCAAUAUUUUUCCAGCACUUUAUCUCAAGGCAAUAUUGAGCCAUUGAGAAAUAUUGCUGGGUGAAUGUCCAGUUAGAACCUUGAAAACUGCAUAGUAACUUGUCAGGUAGAAACGAUAGCUAAUGAAUAGCCUUUACACGUUGUGUGAAGAGGUUGUGUUAGUAGCUGUUGUGACACAGACACCAAUGUAAAACUCAAGAAAAUUGAGAAUAGUGUCAAGCUUUUUUCGUGGCAUUUUGAAU